CCACCUGACCCCAUGCCGAACUCAGAAGUGAAACGCCGUAGCGCCGAUGGUAGUGUGGGGUCUCCCCAUGCGAGAGUAGGGAAUUGCCAGGC
Molecule: ribosomal RNA, 92 nt
Filed under: Escherichia coli
Lineage: Bacteria; Pseudomonadati; Pseudomonadota; Gammaproteobacteria; Enterobacterales; Enterobacteriaceae
Source: RNAcentral